CCCGCCUCUCGUGGGGACCCGGCGUGAGGGCAAGAGGCGGGACCUCCGAGGCGAGGGAGGUGCGGAAGGAAAUACAGAGGACACCAUGAACAUGUACUCAGCAAAAUCCAUAUUGUGGGGAACUCUACAGUCAAGGUCAAACUCUACAGGUCAAUGUAUUCUUCAACAGAUUCAUUGAAGAUGAGGAAGUGGAAAUCUCAUGGAAUCAGACCAUUUUUGCCAGCCUUCUCUCCUGACCCUUUCACCUUGCACCAGUCCCGUACUGAGCAGUGCACCUUCUUGGGAACAGCUUGGCCAGAUUACACAGGUGUACACAGAAUAUGACUCAGCCAAACGGUGAGUUUAUGCAUUGGUAAAAGACAGUGGAGGUAAAUAUGGUGAUCUCAAAGCUGAUUAGGUGCUAUUUAUUUUCGUCUUACAUUUACUUAAUCUUAACAGUGUUUUGAAAGAUGAGAAUGCUUUUGAAAGUUUUAGUAGAGAUCCAAGCUAGAUUCAAGAGGAGUGUGUUUGGCUAAUUAUAAAUAGUUUCUUUCCAUAUUUAUGUUGUUUUGGUGGUUUGAAAAAAGA
This is a long non-coding RNA of Mustela erminea (ermine), 567 nucleotides long. RefSeq lists it as uncharacterized. The transcript has 3 exons. Lineage: Eukaryota; Metazoa; Chordata; Mammalia; Carnivora; Mustelidae. The record is from RefSeq and is a predicted model, not a curated record.